UAAAGGCCUGGUCCUGACUUUACUGUCGGCUUUAGCUAAAUUUAUACAUGCAAGUAUCCGCACCCCUGUGAGAAUGCCCUCAUAGUCUUCUGCCCGAAGACAAGGAGCUGGUAUCAGGCACAACCCCUCCCUUAGCCCACGACGCCUUGCUUAGCCACACCCCCAAGGGAAAUUCAGCAGUAAUAAACCUUAAGCCAUGAGUGAAAACUUGACUUAGUAAAAGCUAAGAGGGCCGGUAAACCUCGUGCCAGCCACCGCGGUUAUACGAGGGGCCCAAGUUGACAGAAAACGGCGUAAAGCGUGGUUAAGGAACAAACCUAAACUAAAGCCGAAUGACUUCAGAGCAGUUUUAAGCAUCCGAAAACACGAAGCCCCCCCACGAAAGUGGCUUUACUACCCCUGACCCCACGAAAGCUAUGGCACAAACUGGGAUUAGAUACCCCACUAUGCUUAGCCGUAAAAAUUGAUAGGAGAAUUCACCACCACCCCCUAUCCGCCCGGGAACUACGAGCGUCAGCUUAAAACCCAAAGGACUUGGCGGUACUUUAGACCCCCCCUAGAGGAGCCUGUUCUAUAACCGAUAAUACCCGUUAAACCUCACCCUCCCUUGUUCAAUCCCGCCUAUAUACCGCCGUCGCAAGCUUACCCUGUAAAGGACCCAUAGUGAGCUCAAUUGGCACAGCCCCAAACGACAGGUCCAGGUGUAGCGUAUGAGAGGGGAAGAAAUGGGCUACAUUCGCUGACUCAGCGAACACGAACGAUGUUUAACUGAAACGUUCAUCCGAAGGAGAAUUUAGCAGUAAGUGGAAAACAGAGUGUUCCACUGAAGCCGGCUCUGAAGUAUGCACACACCGCCCGUCACUCUCCCCAAACACCCACUUUAACACAUAACUAAUAUGCUUUAAACCACAAGGGGAGGCAAGUCGUAACAAGGUAAGUGUACCGGAAGGUGCACUUGGACAACAGACAU
Molecule: non-coding RNA, 970 nt
Filed under: Rexea nakamurai (Nakamura's escolar)
Lineage: Eukaryota; Metazoa; Chordata; Actinopteri; Scombriformes; Gempylidae
Description: 12S rRNA
Rfam family: Bacterial small subunit ribosomal RNA
Source: RNAcentral